GACUCUUAUAGAGCCUCACUAGCUCCUGAAACUGUAGAAAUGCUUAUGUGUGCCGGAGAUUGGUGCCGAAACAUUCAUGGAGUGAAAAAAAAGAUAAAAAAAUUGAAGGCAGCAAAAGAGAUUCUACUUCCCAUAAAAUGAAUGUGAUAAUUGGAAAGGGCCUGCAGUUGAAAUUGGAAAGUUGGAAAGGAUUAUUGUGGAAUGGACAAGAAGUUGCUGUUUU
Long non-coding RNA from Coffea eugenioides, 223 nucleotides. RefSeq lists it as uncharacterized. The transcript is spliced from 3 exons. The record is from RefSeq and is a predicted model, not a curated record. NCBI's taxonomy places the organism in Eukaryota, Viridiplantae, Streptophyta, Magnoliopsida, Gentianales, Rubiaceae.